This 232-nucleotide long non-coding RNA is filed under the name Linum usitatissimum (flax). Its description in RNAcentral is "long non-coding RNA (LUSI_LNC000376)". Lineage: Eukaryota; Viridiplantae; Streptophyta; Magnoliopsida; Malpighiales; Linaceae. The record is from RNAcentral.
GGAGCUGCUCUUGCUCUGGCGGCGGCGGAGGAGGAUUAGGAUGCAGAUGAGCAGCUCCGGCGGGCCGUUUCGUCGUCUCCACAGAAGGCAUGACUGAUGGGUAUUUGAAAAGAUGCUCUGUUUCCGGAAGUGAAUAGGGAGGAGAGUUGUUGUGUGGGAAAUGGGAAUUGGUGGGGAAGGGAGAAAGUUGAAGGGGGCUUAUAUGGAGGAAAAAAGAGAAGAGCGAGAUUUU